UGUUUAUUACAUUUGAAUUAACAGUGACAGCUGAAUGUUUGUGUAUUAGGUCUGCCCAUCAAUGAGGCAUUUCAGCCCAUUUUGAAUUUGGAGCAUGAGGCCAUAAUUGGUGGCUUUAAAUGUCUAUACUGGCUGGUAAAACAUGAAAUUGCGCACCAUACAAAUUACCCGGCAUUGCUGGAUCUGGCAGACCUCCUAGGCUGCGAAUAUUUUGCCAAACUGAAGAUUGAUCAGAGGACAAACUACAGGUCCCACAGGAUUGUGGAUGAAAUGCUACAGAUUCUGGGUGAAGUGGUUGAGGAGCCCAUUUUAGAGGCCAUUAAAUCAUCAAAGGCUAUUGGCCUGGAAAUUGAUGAGUCCACAGACAUCUCUGUGACAAAACAGUUAGAUCUCCAUGUCAGGUACACAGACAAGGAAGGACGGAUGUUCUGUCAAUUCCUGGAUCUUGUAUCUAUUCCAGAUGGCACAGCUAUAACUAUAGCUGAAGCUGUGAAGGAGGUCAUCAUAAGAAAAGAAAUACCUCAGGACCGCAUCUUUGGCCUUGGCACAGAUGGAGCCGCAGUGAUGACCGGAAGAAGGAACGGCACAGCAAAAUUGCUGACUGACUCCUGGCCAGGAUUAGUGUCAGUGCACUGUGCUGCUCAUCGCCUUGCACUAGCAUGUAAAGAUGCAGCAGAUGGAGUGCCAUAUAUGAAAAUAUUCAGAAAGCACCUACAAGACCUGCACCUUUAUUUUAGGAAUAGUGCAAACCGCACCAGCGCUCUAAAAGCAGCUGCAAGUGUGCUUGGAGUAGAAGACCUGAAAGUCACAGAGGUUAAGGACACUAGGUGGCUAUCACAAGAGAAGGCCAUUUCAAAUCUUCAAAGAAAUCUACCUGCAGUGCUUGCUACACUAGCU
Long non-coding RNA from Eleginops maclovinus (Patagonian blennie), 897 nucleotides. RefSeq lists it as uncharacterized. The record is from RefSeq and is a predicted model, not a curated record. The transcript is spliced from 5 exons. NCBI's taxonomy places the organism in Eukaryota, Metazoa, Chordata, Actinopteri, Perciformes, Eleginopidae.